This 498-nucleotide ribosomal RNA is filed under the name uncultured bacterium. RNAcentral describes it as "bacterial SSU rRNA". It matches the Rfam family "Bacterial small subunit ribosomal RNA", at positions 29 to 519 of the family's 1533-position model. The record is from RNAcentral.
AUUGAACGCUGGCGGCAUGCUUUACACAUGCAAGUCGAACGGCAGCGGGGGCUUCGGCCCGCCGGCGAGUGGCGAACGGGUGAGUAAUGCAUCGGAACGUGCCCAGUCGUGGGGGAUAACACAUCGAAAGAUGUGCUAAUACCGCAUACGUCCUGAGGGAGAAAGCGGGGGAUCUUCGGACCUCGCGCGAUUGGAGCGGCCGAUGUCGGAUUAGCUAGUUGGUGGGGUAAAAGCCCACCAAGGCGACGAUCCGUAGCGGGUCUGAGAGGAUGAUCCGCCACACUGGGACUGAGACACGGCCCAGACUCCUACGGGAGGCAGCAGUGGGGAAUUUUGGACAAUGGGGGCAACCCUGAUCCAGCCAUGCCGCGUGAGUGAAGAAGGCCUCGGUUGUAAGACUCUUUUGUACGGAAGAAAUACGCCGCCUCUAACAUAAGGCGGUGGAGUGACGGUACCGUAACGAAGAAGACACCGGCUAACUACGUGCCAGCAGCCGCG